GCAUAUCAAUAAGCGGAGGAAAAGAAACCAACCGGGAUUGCCUCAGUAACGGCGAGUGAAGCGGCAAGAGCUCAAAUUUGAAAUCUGGCGCCUUCGGCGUCCGAGUUGUAAUUUGCAGAGGAUGCUUCGGAUACAGCCCCCGUCUAAGUGCCCUGGAACGGGCCGUCGGAGAGGGUGAGAAUCCCGUCUGGGACGGGGUGUCUGUGUCCGUGUGAAGCUCCUUCGACGAGUCGAGUUGUUUGGGAAUGCAGCUCUAAAUGGGUGGUAAAUUUCAUCUAAAGCUAAAUACUGGCCGGAGACCGAUAGCGCACAAGUAGAGUGAUCGAAAGAUGAAAAGCACUUUGAAAAGAGAGUUAAAAAGCACGUGAAAUUGUUGAAAGGGAAGCGCUUGCGACCAGACUCGCCUGCGGGGUUCAGCCGGCCUUCGGGCUGGUGUACUUCCCCGUGGGCGGGCCAGCGUCGGUUUGGACGGCCGGUCAAAGGCCCCCGGAAUGUAGCGCCCUUCGGGGCGCCUUAUAGCCGGGGGUGUAAUGCGGCCUGUCUGGACCGAGGAACGCGCUUCGGCACGGACGCUGGCAUAAUGGUCGUAAACGACCCGUCUUGAAACACGGACCAAGGAGUCUAACAUCUACGCGAGUGUUCGGGUGGCAAACCCGUGCGCGAAGUGAAAGCGAACGGAGGUGGGAGCCCCCUCGCGGGGCGCACCAUCGACCGAUCCUGAUGUCUUCGGAUGGAUUUGAGUAAGAGCGUAGCUGUGGGGACCCGAAAGAUGGUGAACUAUGCCUGAAUAGGGCGAAGCCAGAGGAAACUCUGGUGGAGGCUCGCAGCGGUUCUGACGUGCAAAUCGAUCGUCAAAUUUGGGUAUAGGGGCGAAAGACUAAUCGAACCAUCUAGUAGCUGGUCUG
RNAcentral lists this ribosomal RNA (905 nucleotides) under Aspergillus arxii. RNAcentral's name for it is "LSU rRNA". It matches the Rfam family "Eukaryotic large subunit ribosomal RNA", at positions 38 to 958 of the family's 3401-position model. Lineage: Eukaryota; Fungi; Ascomycota; Eurotiomycetes; Eurotiales; Aspergillaceae. The record is from RNAcentral.